ACUAGGGCCACAGGGUUCACAUUUUCAGUGUGGGAACUGCAGAAGAGAAUUUCACUUGCCUUCAGGAAUCCUAACCAGGAUGUGGUGGGCUCCAUCCAAACCUGUCAAUGAGGUGACAGACCACAUAAAGGCCACAGACACUGUACUUAGAGGCCUGUUCAAGAGUGAUAAACCCCAUCGGUGGAGUGAAUCACAGCUAGUCCUGCGACAGAAAUAAAUCAAGGUGAGCUGUAAGCCAAAUCAAGUCAAACCAAAUAAAUCCAGCUCUGUCACAAGUAAGCCAUCCAAGUAUUGCUUUCCUACAGUGAGAGAAGGAUUAUAAGGACACUGUAAGGAUCCAAGACAAAU
This 348-nucleotide long non-coding RNA is filed under the name Fukomys damarensis (Damara mole-rat). RNAcentral's name for it is "lncRNA (ENSFDAG00000025765.1)". Lineage: Eukaryota; Metazoa; Chordata; Mammalia; Rodentia; Bathyergidae. The record is from RNAcentral.